Magnolia sinica is the source of this 2807-nucleotide RNA transcript. It is a transcript of the gene named SH2 domain-containing protein A-like, with no coding region annotated. Lineage: Eukaryota; Viridiplantae; Streptophyta; Magnoliopsida; Magnoliales; Magnoliaceae. The transcript has 13 exons. The record is from RefSeq and is a predicted model, not a curated record.
CAAGAGAGAGAACACCAACCUCUCCUGAUUCCCCCCCAAAACCUCCAAACCCUCCCAACUCCCAUUCCCAUCCAACACGCCAGGGGUGCGCAGGUUAAGCUAUCCGCUCCAAAGAGGCGCAGUUUAAGCUCCCCUCUCACCUCGAUUCAUCUAUCUGUAAGAGACAAAAGAACAGCCAUGGCUGCUCAGACUGCCGUCGCAGAAACCGACGAUGACUAUUCGGCGCUGAAAGACGUCAGGAUAGGCCUCGACCGAGUCGAAGGUCCCUUCUCUCUCUGCCUUUGGAUUUAUCUAUCCGAACCUGUCUGCCCGCUAGCAACGAUUAUUCAGCAGAUGCAUCCGGACAUAAAAGGUGACAUUCCCUUUCUUGUCUUGAACAAGGAGAAGAAGAUAACACUCUUUCCAUUGUUGUUCCUGCAUGAAGAAGCUCCCCGUUCUCCUGCUUCCUGGACCAACGUGCCAUGUUUAUCUGCAGAAAUUGAGUGCCCACUUACUAAAUGGGUUCAUGUUGGAUGUGAGGUGGCUACAAACAUCAUGCGCCUUUACAUUGACGGAGUGUUGGUCAGAGAGACACAUCUGUCUCACUCAGCAAAGAAUGAGUCUUAUCAGGAUGAUUUACGGAGAAUUACUUUGGCUGGUGGUGGUGGAGGCGACAAGAGACUUCAGGGCUAUGUGCAUGAUCUUCGAGUCUUGCCUAAAUCAUCAUCUAUUGCAGACCACUUUGUAAAGAACCCACCGCUAGAACUAUCUAUUGAUAGUUCAUGUAUCUCUGAAAAGCAUGAGAUUGAAGAAGGUGACGAUGGCGUUUGGAGCGUUGUUGGGGGCAAGGCAUCUUGUCGCAGGAAUUUCUCCCUGGAUGUCAUUUUACUAGAUGCCCUUGGUCGUUCUGUACACAAGGAAAUUGAGCUUGUUGCUUCACUUGUAUACGCCGACAAUGGAGCGCCAGUGGAGAAGCCAAAGGAGGAAGCUGAAGCUCCUCUUCUGACAAGCUACGAUGGAGUUGAAUUGCCUUCAACUGACCGACCCAUCAAACUUCUUCAUGGCCGUGCAUCCUUUAAGCUCAAAAUAUCUCAGCUUUCUUCCAAAUGUGACAACAGGCUAUUUCGUGUACAUUUUGAGCCUCUUGACUCACCAUCCACUGAAAGAUAUCCUUUUCUUGAAGCAUUCUCCCGUCAGAUUCGUUGCAUAUCUAGGAACCGUAAUAGCCGGACAUCUUCUGUAUUAUGGAAAAGGCCGACAUCCACAGCACACCAACUUGAUGGACCUCAGUCAUCAGGAGCAGAUGAGGGAUCCCCUGAAACACAACAUCACAAUAGAGAUGGCCACUUACAGAUCUUGAGUCAGCGGAUGUCAAAGUACAGCCCCCCUCCAAAACGUGUUAAAGUGGGAAAUGAAAAAUCAUCAAUUAGGAUCUACGCUAACACUGUUCCGGAACAUCUAGACAAUGCGUACAGCUCUCGUUGCCUAACUGCUAAGGAGGAUGGGAAUGGAUUCGGAGUGGGUUUGGAGGGGAAACCUGAAAACCUCGAAAGGACAGACAGCAUUCCAUCUGAUUCCGAGAGUGUUCAUGCCAGAAACUCGGCUUUCAGAGGGAUGGCAGAUACUAGAAAGCCCAUCUCAGAUUUUUCAGUUUUCAAAUAUUGUCUAGAAGGCAUGGAUGAGCGUGCUCUAUUACUAAGAGAGAUUGUAGCUACUGCUAGUGACCAAGAUAUGGCAGACUUUGCACAGCAGGUUUCCUUGUACACGGGUUGUUUUCAUCAUCGGCACCAGAUAUUGAUUGCAAAGGGACUGGUCCAAGAAGGAAUAGACACUUGGAACGCAAUUCCACGAAGCAACAACCAAGUUCUUUGGAAAAGUGCAGCCCGGGAAAUUGAAAAGAAAUUCAUGAAAAUUUCUAGUUGCUCUAGUAGAAGUCUAUCUGGACAGGACAUGGAGCUUUUGCAAAGAAUUGCCAGGUGCCAGGACAAGAUCACUCGUGAGAAUUUUGAUAAGAUGUGGCAUUGGUUGUAUCCCAUAGCUUUUGCUUUGUCGAGGGAUCAGAUCAAAGCGGUCUGGGAAUGCACAUCACCCAAGUGGAUAGAAGGGUUGAUUACAAAGGAAGAUGCAGAAGCUUCAAUUACUGGUCCAAUAGGGCUCCAAAGACCGGGAACUUUUGUACUUAGGUUUCCUACGUCACGGAGCUGGCCUCACCCAGAUUCUGGCAGCCUGGUUGUCACCUAUGUCGGUGCUGAUUACGCUCUUCAUCACAGGAUGCUCUCUCUUGAUGAUAGAGAUUCAGUCUACUUAACUCGCCAUGACAAAAAAUAUUUAAGAUAUUCAAUAUCGGCAUUCAAGACUAGACCAAGUUUAUUCGACUUGACUGGGUUUGAGUUGGAUCGAGUUUUCGCGUAUUUAGACCAUGGCGGAAGGAGGCUUUCCUGAUGAUUUGAAUAGAGAAAUUGAGCAACUGUCCCUCUCUCUCUCAGCGACAGUUAAUAUGACUCUCCCAUCAGAUUCAGAUGAAGGGUUGAAGUCAACUUGAAUGCGAAAUGGCCUUUUCUCAUGAUGGGGAAUCGAUAAAUCAAAUAGAUGGAAACAAAUAGAGAAUCACUUCAAGAUUUGCUAUUGGCAGAACCUGAACUCUCUCAUUUGGGAAGGGUAACAAGACAAGUGACUCAAUUUGUUGGAGAUGAAGUCUAGAUGCAGAUUUUCACUUUGAAAAUAUGAUGUUUGUAGUUUUUUUAAAUUUUAAUCAACAUACUUUUUGUAUAUUGGUUUUCUUCUUGUAUUCAAUUCCUAGAACUGAAAUGUAUUAUUAUUUCUAAUGA